UACGUAGGCAGCGAGCGUUGUUCGGAUUUACUGGGCGUAAAGAGUGCGUAGGCGGUUUUCUAAGUUUGGUGUGAAAUCUCCCGGCUUAACUGGGAGGGUGCGCCGAAGACUGGAAGGCUUGAGUAUGGGAGAGGUAAGCGGAAUUCCUGGUGUAGCGGUGAAAUGCGUAGAUAUCAGGAGGAACACCUGCGGUGUAGACGGCUUACUGGACCAUAACUGACGCUGAGGCGCGAAAGCGUGGGGAGCAAACAGG
Molecule: ribosomal RNA, 253 nt
Filed under: uncultured bacterium
Lineage: Bacteria
Description: partial 16S ribosomal RNA
Rfam family: Bacterial small subunit ribosomal RNA
Source: RNAcentral